RNAcentral lists this ribosomal RNA (588 nucleotides) under Enterococcus sp. RNAcentral describes it as "bacterial SSU rRNA". It matches the Rfam family "Bacterial small subunit ribosomal RNA", at positions 39 to 598 of the family's 1533-position model. Lineage: Bacteria; Bacillati; Bacillota; Bacilli; Lactobacillales; Enterococcaceae. The record is from RNAcentral.
GCGGCGUGCCUAAUACAUGCAAGUCGUACGCUUCUUUUUCCACCGGAGCUUGCUCCACCGGAAAAAGAAGAGUGGCGAACGGGUGAGUAACACGUGGGUAACCUGCCCAUCAGAAGGGGAUAACACUUGGAAACAGGUGCUAAUACCGUAUAACAAUCGAAACCGCAUGGUUUUGAUUUGAAAGGCGCUUUCGGGUGUCGCUGAUGGAUGGACCCGCGGUGCAUUAGCUAGUUGGUGAGGUAACGGCUCACCAAGGCCACGAUGCAUAGCCGACCUGAGAGGGUGAUCGGCCACAUUGGGACUGAGACACGGCCCAAACUCCUACGGGAGGCAGCAGUAGGGAAUCUUCGGCAAUGGACGAAAGUCUGACCGAGCAACGCCGCGUGAGUGAAGAAGGUUUUCGGAUCGUAAAACUCUGUUGUUAGAGAAGAACAAGGAUGAGAGUAACUGUUCAUCCCUUGACGGUAUCUAACCAGAAAGCCACGGCUAACUACGUGCCAGCAGCCGCGGUAAUACGUAGGUGGCAAGCGUUGUCCGGAUUUAUUGGGCGUAAAGCGAGCGCAGGCGGUUUCUUAAGUCUGAUGUGAA